AGCAUACAAAAGAUCAUGUCAUCUGCAACCAGAGUUAAUUUUACAUUUUCCUUUCCUGUUUGGAUGUCUAUUUCUUUUUUCUUAGCUGAUUUCUCUGGCUAGGACUUUCAGUACUAUGUUGAAUAGAAGUGGCGAGAUUCUAGAUUGUUCCUAAUCUUAAUGGGAAAGCUUUCAGUUUUUCAUCAUUUAACUUUAAACUUUUGUUUUAGUACCUAAUGAAAUGAAAAGUUGCCAAUAUAUUAACACAAAUUUCCCUAGGGUGAGAGCCAGUCAUAAUCUUAAUCAAGGUCAUGAGAGAAAAAUAUGGUAAUAGCUGAUACACUAGUCAAAAGUUCAGACUCAGCGAACUUGUGUUCUAUUCCAAGUCAGUCAUGAAUUUGCAGUGAGGCAAGCUUUUUUUUUCCUCCACCAAGUAUCUGUUUUCCCUUCUAUGAAAUGGGAUAAUUUUUUAGAAUAAUUUUGUCUGUCUAAGAUUUUAUCUCUUUAUGUUUUAUGUGUAUGUAAAUUACUUUGUACUAAUUGGUGAUAAGAAUAACUUUAGUUGAAUGUGAGAUUACAGCAAAAUCUUUUUUUGGAAAAGAUUAUUGAGAUCUUCAUUUUUAUUCUGAAAAUAAGACUUCAUAAGGAUGGUAAUUUUUGGAUUUGCAUUUAUGCUUAUCUUUAAAAAUCAUAGUAGUAACUACUACCUAUAAAUAAAUAGCAUAACUUUAUUUUUAGUACAGUGUUUUGAAAUAAGGUAGCAUGCAAGAAAGUCUGUUGAAUUCCUAUUAAAUAAAAAGGUAAUUCCAAAUUGUAUAGUAUGUUACAUUUUCCUUACAUGUUAUAUUAGUUUUCUGUUGCUUUUAAUCUAGAUCAAGUAAAGGUAUUAUCUCCAUCCUGGGGCACAAUUUGUGUCUAUUUGGUGACUUGUGAAACUAGAUAACAGAUUUUUCUGCCCCCAAAAUACAUUGUUGGAAUAAGCAUAGGGUAACACUUACAGAUGUUCCAGCUUAAAAAGGAGAAGACAGAAGGUAAAGAAAGAGUGACUGGUCCCAGGAAGGAAGGAAGGAAGGAAUGGCGCUCAGUCGU
This 1068-nucleotide long non-coding RNA is filed under the name Capra hircus (goat). Its description in RNAcentral is "lncRNA (ENSCHIG00010006895.1)". Lineage: Eukaryota; Metazoa; Chordata; Mammalia; Artiodactyla; Bovidae. The record is from RNAcentral.